AAGUCGUAACAAGGUUUCCGUAGGUGAACCUGCGGAAGGAUCACUAAAGUAAACGCCCUCCGGGGCUCUCUUUAUUCACACACCCCUGUGCACUUUGGCCACCUGCCGCGCUUCACUGCGUUAGUAGGUGUGUCUUUAUAAUUAUACCCAUAUACACAAGUCAUUGAAUGUAAAAUCGUUAUAAACUAAUAUAACUUUCAACAACGGAUCUCUUGGUUCUCGAAUCGAU
Molecule: unclassified non-coding RNA, 229 nt
Filed under: Cystofilobasidium macerans
Lineage: Eukaryota; Fungi; Basidiomycota; Tremellomycetes; Cystofilobasidiales; Cystofilobasidiaceae
Description: partial internal transcribed spacer region
Rfam family: Eukaryotic small subunit ribosomal RNA (bases 1-46)
Source: RNAcentral